This 330-nucleotide ribosomal RNA is filed under the name uncultured bacterium. RNAcentral describes it as "bacterial SSU rRNA". It matches the Rfam family "Bacterial small subunit ribosomal RNA", at positions 568 to 898 of the family's 1533-position model. The record is from RNAcentral.
UGUGUAGGCGGUUGGAUAAGUGUGGUGUGAAAUCUCCCGGCUUAACUGGGAGGGUGCGCUACAAACUGUCUGACUAGAGUAUGGGAUGGGAGAGUGGAAUUCCUGGUGUAGCGGUGAAAUGCGUAGAUAUCAGGAGGAACACCGGUGGUGUAGACGGCUCUCUGGACCAUUACUGACGCUGAGACACGAAAGCGUGGGUAGCAAACAGGAUUAGAUACCCUGGUAGUCCACGCCCUAAACGAUGCAUAUUUGGUGUGGGUCAUUCAUUUGAUCCGUGCCGGAGCUAACGCGUUAAAUAUGCCGCCUGGGGAGUACAGUCGCAAGGCUGAA